GACGAACGCUGGCGGCGUGCUUAACACAUGCAAGUCGAGCGGGAAACUUAGGUUUCCAGCGGCGGACGGGUGAGUAACACGUGGGCAACCUGCCUCACAAUGAGGGAUAGCCUUCGGAAAGGAAGAUUAAUACCUCAUAAACCAAGAGAAACGAAUGUUUCUUUUUCCAAAGAAUUUCGUUGUGAGAUGGGCCCGCGGCGCAUUAGCUUGUUGGUGAGGUAACGGCUCACCAAGGCUUCGAUGCGUAGCCGACCUGAGAGGGUGAUCGGCCACAGUGGAACUGAGACACGGUCCAGACUCCUACGGGAGGCAGCAGUGGGGAAUAUUGCACAAUGGAGGAAACUCUGAUGCAGCAACGCCGCGUGAGUGAUGAAGGUCUUCGGAUUGUAAAGCUCUGUCUUCUGGGACGAUAAUGACGGUACCAGAGGAGGAAGCCACGGCUAACUACGUGCCAGCCGCCGCAGUAA
This 467-nucleotide ribosomal RNA is filed under the name uncultured bacterium. RNAcentral's name for it is "partial 16S ribosomal RNA". It matches the Rfam family "Bacterial small subunit ribosomal RNA", at positions 28 to 523 of the family's 1533-position model. The record is from RNAcentral.